AUGGCUCAGGACGAACGCUGGCGGCGUGCCUAACACAUGCAAGUCGAGCGAUGAAGCUUCUUCGGAAGUGGAUUAGCGGCGGACGGGUGAGUAACACGUGGGUAACCUGCCUCAUAGAGGGGAAUAGCCUUCCGAAAGGAAGAUUAAUACCGCAUAAGAUUGUAAUAUCGCAUGAUAUAGCAAUUAAAGGAGCAAUCCGCUAUGAGAUGGACCCGCGUCGCAUUAGCUAGUUGGUGAGGUAACGGCUCACCAAGGCGACGAUGCGUAGCCGACCUGAGAGGGUGAUCGGCCACAUUGGGACUGAGACACGGCCCAGACUCCUACGGGAGGCAGCAGUGGGGAAUAUUGCACAAUGGGGGAAACCCUGAUGCAAGCAACGCCGCGUGAGUGAUGACGGUCUUCGGAUUGUAAAGCUCUGUCUUCAGGGACGAUAAUGACGGUACCUGAGGAGGAAGCCACGGCUAACUACGUGCCAGCCGCCGC
Molecule: ribosomal RNA, 483 nt
Filed under: uncultured bacterium
Lineage: Bacteria
Description: bacterial SSU rRNA
Rfam family: Bacterial small subunit ribosomal RNA
Source: RNAcentral